RNAcentral lists this ribosomal RNA (463 nucleotides) under uncultured bacterium. RNAcentral describes it as "partial 16S ribosomal RNA". It matches the Rfam family "Bacterial small subunit ribosomal RNA", at positions 28 to 507 of the family's 1533-position model. The record is from RNAcentral.
GAUGAACGCUGACAGAAUGCUUAACACAUGCAAGUCGAUGGGGAAGUGGUGCUUGCACCAUGGCAACCAUGGCGGACGGGUGAGUAACGCGUAAGGGACUUACCUGCAGGACUGGGAUAACAGGGGGAAACUCCUGACAAGACCGGAUAAUGUCAUGGAGCUUCAUGGCUUUAUGAUGAAAGGAGACGCCUGCGGAGAGCCUUGCGUCCUAUUAGCUAGUUGGUGAGGUAAUGGCUCACCAAGGCGAAGAUAGGUAGCCGGCCUGAGAGGGUGGACGGCCACAAGGGGACUGAGAUACGGCCCUUACUCCUACGGGAGGCAGCAGUGGGGAAUAUUGGACAAUGGGGGCAACCCUGAUCCAGCAAUUCUGUGUGCACGAAGAAGGUUUUCGGAUUGUAAAGUGCUUUCAGCAGGGAAGAAGUAAGUGACGGUACCUGCAGAAGAAGCGACGGCUAAAUACGUG